ACCUAUAAUUUUUUAUCUCCACCGGAGCUAGCCGGAGAAGACGGUGGCGCUGGCCACCGUCUGAUCUCCAGAUCCAAUCGUGGUCGUCCAUAUUUAUUUCCAGAUCUAAUCUCAGUAGUCCAAACUUAUGACUUAUUUUAAUUCAGCGUGUGGUGGCAUUCACUUUGGUACACGUUGGACGCGCGCUUAUGGAUGCUUUGAUCUGCCAGCUCAAUUAAUGAGCUAAGAUCCAAGGGCUCACGCUUUUCCAUUUAUUUUAAUUCUGAUUUUUAUUUCCAUUUUAUUUUUUUAUUCUAUUUCAUUUUCUAAAAAUUCAUAUCUCUUUUAUUAUUGGUCCAAAAAUUAUGGGACCAAUUGCAUUAUUUCUCUUUAAUUUUCUAGUUUCUAAAAAUGAUUUUUAAUAUUUUUUAUUUUGUGAUUUGCUAUUUUUUAGUAAUUUUCUCUUUUCUGGUUAUUUUUAAUUCAUUUUAAAUAGUUUUUGAUAUUCAAAAAAUACAAAAAUAUUUUCUCAACCUUUU
This 518-nucleotide long non-coding RNA is filed under the name Lathyrus oleraceus (garden pea). RNAcentral describes it as "Pisum sativum (pea) long non-coding RNA (PSAT_LNC022090)". The record is from RNAcentral. Lineage: Eukaryota; Viridiplantae; Streptophyta; Magnoliopsida; Fabales; Fabaceae.